GGUUUCAUACCCAAGCUAAGAGACUUCCAGGGAGGAACUUUGUUGACGAUGCACAACCUUAGCUGUUUGUCUGCUCAAGGCAUCUGUGAGAGAAAUCUCACUGUCUUUCUUGCUGCCCUUAAGAACAAAUAACAAAGAAAUUCAUAUAGAAUUUCUUUAUCUCACUGCUUUUCCGCUCUUGGUAGAAAUCCGUUAGCAAAUUCAUUUGCUCUUGUAUGCUCUCCUCGCCUUCCCAGCGGCUGUUCUCUUCUCUGCCUUUGUGGCCUUGCGAGCCCUCCCCUUUUAUUUUUGUCUCUGCAACCUCACGGCUGCCUCCUCCAAAUAUUUUCACAGCCGUGCUUUUUGUAGGCUUGCUAUCAGAGAUCACUUCUGUGGAGUACUCUUCAUGCAGUAAUCACCUCACCAAAACAGAAACCACCAAACUCUCUUGAAAGUUUUCAUUGGUUGGUCAAACUCCUGUAUUUAUUUAUUUUUUUUAAACUCCUUUAGGAUAUUUUCACGUGGAAUUGAAUUGCUUUAUCCCUUGGCUUUGAAACUUGAAAAGCCUAUUGGAUAAUUGGCUUUAUUAUUUUUUUGGAAACACUUAUCAUCUAUAUUAGAUAAGCUUGCUGGACGUGGGCUUAGGCAAAUGCAAUCCAAUUUUUUUUUUUGUGAAUUUUUUUUUUUUGUUUUUGGUUCAACAGAUGCCCCCUCAAGCAUUGUGCGUGAAACAACUCUUUGAGUGCAAGGCUUGAUUACUUUUCUAGACAAGGAUUGGCUUUUCUUUUGCUUUUUGCUUCAACCAUUCACAGUUUAUACUCGUGUGGGCGAGGAGUUCUUGUGUAGCAGUUUAACCACAUGCUUUUCAUUUGGUGGAUAAAAAAUGGAUUAUGAUAUUUUGCGGCUGCAUCCAGCUUUUAGGCUAGAUUGCCUAUGCACCUCGUAGUUCUUUUGCUUGGGCUUCCCUUUCAGUUUUUAGCCCACAUAGCAUUUGUAUUUUAAGCUCUAACUUUUGCUUGAACUGCCUUAUGGGGUUUUCAGUCGAACGGGCACUUUUUUCUUUUUCUUUUUUUUUAUUUUUAUUUUUUAUUUUUAUUUAUUUAUUUUUUUUAGCUCUAAUUUUUGCUUGGACUGCCCUUCCGGGUUUUCAACCCAACGAGCUCUUUUUUUUUAUAACAAACAGUUUAUACUCAUGUGAAUUGGAGUUCUUGUGUAGUAUACAGUAGUUUUACCACGUGCUAACACCAUUGGUGGAAAAUUUAUGGUUACAGCUAGCUUUUGAGCUUGCUUGCCUACGUCUCUUUUUAUUUGAGGUAAAGAAAGAGACAUUUGAGAUUUGCGACUGCAUCUAGCUUUUAGGACUAAAUUGCCUACGUACCCUUUUU
RNAcentral lists this long non-coding RNA (1364 nucleotides) under Prunus persica (peach). Its description in RNAcentral is "long non-coding RNA (PPER_LNC002209)". Lineage: Eukaryota; Viridiplantae; Streptophyta; Magnoliopsida; Rosales; Rosaceae. The record is from RNAcentral.